GGGAGUGUAGCUCAGGUAGUAGAGCAUCUGCCUAGCAAUCAUGAGGACCUGAGUUCAAAUCCCAGUACUGCCA
Molecule: transfer RNA, 73 nt
Filed under: Dipodomys ordii (Ord's kangaroo rat)
Lineage: Eukaryota; Metazoa; Chordata; Mammalia; Rodentia; Heteromyidae
Rfam family: tRNA
About the family: Transfer RNA (tRNA) molecules are approximately 80 nucleotides in length. Their secondary structure includes four short double-helical elements and three loops (D, anti-codon, and T loops). Further hydrogen bonds mediate the characteristic L-shaped molecular structure. tRNAs have two regions of fundamental functional importance: the anti-codon, which is responsible for specific mRNA codon recognition, and the 3' end, to which the tRNAs corresponding amino acid is attached (by aminoacyl-tRNA synthetases). tRNAs cope with the degeneracy of the genetic code in two manners: having more than one tRNA (with a specific anti-codon) for a particular amino acid; and 'wobble' base-pairing, i.e. permitting non-standard base-pairing at the 3rd anti-codon position.
Source: Rfam by way of RNAcentral